This 706-nucleotide ribosomal RNA is filed under the name Microbacterium sp. RNAcentral describes it as "bacterial SSU rRNA". It matches the Rfam family "Bacterial small subunit ribosomal RNA", at positions 60 to 774 of the family's 1533-position model. The record is from RNAcentral. Lineage: Bacteria; Bacillati; Actinomycetota; Actinomycetes; Micrococcales; Microbacteriaceae.
AGUCGUACGAGUGUACACCAGAGCUUGCUCUGUGGGAUCAGUGGCGAACGGGUGAGUAACACGUGAGCAACCUACCCCUGACUCUGGGAUAAGCGCUGGAAACGGCGUCUAAUACUGGAUACGAGUGGCGACCGCAUGGUCAGCUACUGGAAAGAUUUAUUGGUUGGGGAUGGGCUCGCGGCCUAUCAGCUUGUUGGUGAGGUAAUGGCUCACCAAGGCGUCGACGGGUAGCCGGCCUGAGAGGGUGACCGGCCACACUGGGACUGAGACACGGCCCAGACUCCUACGGGAGGCAGCAGUGGGGAAUAUUGCACAAUGGGCGCAAGCCUGAUGCAGCAACGCCGCGUGAGGGAUGACGGCCUUCGGGUUGUAAACCUCUUUUAGCAGGGAAGAAGCGAAAGUGACGGUACCUGCAGAAAAAGCGCCGGCUAACUACGUGCCAGCAGCCGCGGUAAUACGUAGGGCGCAAGCGUUAUCCGGAAUUAUUGGGCGUAAAGAGCUCGUAGGCGGUUUGUCGCGUCUGCUGUGAAAUCCGGAGGCUCAACCUCCGGCCUGCAGUGGGUACGGGCAGACUAGAGUGCGGUAGGGGAGAUUGGAAUUCCUGGUGUAGCGGUGGAAUGCGCAGAUAUCAGGAGGAACACCGAUGGCGAAGGCAGAUCUCUGGGCCGUAACUGACGCUGAGGAGCGAAAGGGUGGGGAGCAAACA